RNAcentral lists this ribosomal RNA (157 nucleotides) under uncultured Burkholderiales bacterium. RNAcentral's name for it is "partial 16S ribosomal RNA". It matches the Rfam family "Bacterial small subunit ribosomal RNA", at positions 624 to 776 of the family's 1533-position model. Lineage: Bacteria; Pseudomonadati; Pseudomonadota; Betaproteobacteria; Burkholderiales. The record is from RNAcentral.
CCUUUGUGACUGCNAUGGCUAGAGUACGGUANNGAGNGGGGAUGGAAUUCCGCGUGUAGCAGUGAAAUGCGUAGAUAUGCGGAGGAACACCGAUGGCGAAGGCAAUCCCCUGGACCUGUACUGACGCUCAUGCACGAAAGCGUGGGGAGCAAACAGG